This 7536-nucleotide long non-coding RNA is filed under the name Panax ginseng (ginseng). RNAcentral's name for it is "long non-coding RNA (PGIN_LNC004689)". The record is from RNAcentral. Lineage: Eukaryota; Viridiplantae; Streptophyta; Magnoliopsida; Apiales; Araliaceae.
GAAGAUUUUGGAUAUAUUUAGAGGAGAUAAGAGAGAGAGAGAGAGAGAGAGAGAGAGAGAAAGAUGCGAUGUUAGGAAAGAUAUGGGGGAGAGAGAGAGCCGUAUGGCUUGGUAGAGGAGGAAGAAAAGUCACUCACAAUUUCACAUCUUCUUCAUCUUUGAUCAUUCAAUGACCACCAUCUUCAUCUUCUUCCAUUAAAACUCCAAGAAAACUAGUGAGAGAAAGAAGUGGGUUUAGUGAAGGAGGUGGGAUGAGGCUACGGGAGCAUACCAAAGAGAAGACAAGAGGAUUCUAGCAAGUCCUAGCAAGCUUCUAAGCAUCAAGAAGGGAUUUAAGCUCAUCAAGUAAGUCUUAAAACCUUGAACCUUCAUAUUUCUUCCAUUUUAAUGGCUUAGCUUUGUUCUUGAGUUGUUGAGUUGUAAAACUUCUUAAGAACAAUUUUCAGAAGGUAUAUGAAGCCUUAACAUCAUCCAAGUGUAACCAAAACUCACAAAAUCCGAACCUAUGCGUAAAGGAUGGAAAGAUUUACAAAGAACCAUGUUGGAUAGUUUUGGGGACUGAGCUUGAGGACCAUUUGUGCUUUUGAUUUAUUAUAAAAGCUUAGUUUGAUGAUUGUAUGUUAUAGCCCUAUAAGCAUUGAAGAUUUCCUAACUUGAAUGAACCUAAACGGAGUUAAAACGAAUCCGUGGUGAAGAUUUUAGUAAACCAUGUCUAGAAAUGAAAACUGGAUGAACAGUGACUAUAGUGUCCAAUUCUGGAAUUGUUAUGUUACCUGAAAAAUUCUGAGUUUCUGGGUAGUGUAGUGCACUGAGUUAGGAAGCCAUAGGCUUUUCAAUGACCUCAUUCCGACCUCGGAUGAGGGAGUUAUGGUGAUUGGAAGGAAAUGUGUCGAAUCUAUCAAAUUGGAAAUCAGUAGCGGGACGUGCUAUUCGGGACACUGUUUCGAUAAGUUAAUGUUUCUAAAAAAUUCUGGACUUGUAGUAUGAUAUAUUACACUGAAUAAGCUUUCCAUAAACUCCGGAACGGAUUAAUUUCGACUUUGGAGCAAAGAGUUAUGACCAGUCAAAGUAGUUGCGUCAAAACUGUCUAACAAACUUGGGGCAGUCCCCUUGCAUGAAUUUUCUGGAAUUCGGUGUUUAGAAUUUGGAAAAGGUCAAAGAAUAAAAGUUGUGGUCCUGGAAGUUAGCUUCGUGUGGGCUCAAGAAUCGCUCCAAAAUAUUUUGCAACAAAAACGUUACGACUAUUUUACCGAGAGAGGGUAAAGUUGGGAAAAAGGUAAAAACCAUAAUGAACGUACACUUUUGGCUAAAUAAUUGGACUGCUUAAUGAACCUGAAAUGGAAGUUUCAUAUUUUUAAAAAAUGGUCUCAUAUGAUACAAAAAACAUAUCCAAAAAUGGGAUCAAUCCGAUUAACGAACAGUGUGUACGAAAUUCGUAAAAUAGCAGAUUUGGUAUGCGAGCGGCGGAGCGGCAACGCUGCUGGGCAGCAGUGCCCAGCGGCACCGCGCUGCUUGCUGGGCAGCUGCAUGACAUGCUUUUUGACGCGCUGUUUUGAUGGGUUCCGUGAUCCGUUUUCGCGGUUAGGAAUUUUUUUAAAAUACUACACCACAAGCUCUAUAACAUUCCCAAAAUUUCGAUGUUAUAUGACUUAUGAUUUGAAAAUUAAAAAUGGGCGAACAUGUAUGUCAGAACUAAAAUUUGAGUGAACGCCGAGUGUCGGCGUGUCGAGCGACUUUGACGUUCGACGUUCCGAAUCGCAUUCCGACAAAAUAAUAAGUCAUAAUAAAUCUAAUAAAGUCCUACGGGGAGAGAUUUGACUAUAAGUGAUAUUUUAUGCCGAGAAACUUGUUUUUGGGCAUACGGUAUAAUGAAAGCAAUAAAAAUGUGUAAUAAAUAGAAAUUACAUAUUAAAGCGAAAUAAAAACGUUAGUUGCCUAUAAAAUUAUUUUUGGUGCAAUGAAGAAUGUGAAAUCUUUGAAAAAUUGUAUUAAUCAUAAAAAUGAUAUUUUGAGGUUUCUGGGGUUCUAAAUGAAGUUUUUGAGCUGAGAUUUAUGUAACGGAGUAUAUAUAUUUAUUUUUAAUAUAUAUAUAUAAAGCAAAAAUGUAAAUAUUUGUAAAACAAAAAAUAAAGAGAAUGUGCUAGUAGGAUAAAAUAUUUGUAUAUGAGGCAACGGAUCGUGUUGACUCAUGAACGGACAAAAUGAUAUAAAACAAAUAUUUAAAUUAAAGAAAUAAUAUAGUCAAUUGAGUUUUACUAUAAAAGUUAUGUAUUAGCUGUUUAAACCCCAAAUUUGCGAGUAAAGCUAAAAGAUAUUUCUAAAAAUGAAUAUAAAUGGUUUAAGCUUCAAGAUGUAAAAUAUUUGUAUCUUAAAAUUUGUGAGACCUUUAUUAUUUAUGAAACAAGUAAAAUAUUAUUACAUGAUUAAUAAUAUUAGAUAAUGAUUAAAAUAUUAUUAAAUGAUUAAUAAUAUUAGUAAAUGAUUUGAAUAUUAUUAAAUGAUUAAUAAUAUUAGAAGGUGAUUAAAAUAUUAUUAAAUAAUUAAUAAUAUUAUUAAAUGAUUAAGAUAUUACUAUGAAAUUGAGAAGUAAAUAAAAUAUUUUUAAAUGAUUAAUAAUAUUAGACGAGAAUUUAAGAUGAUGGUUAUGUGAUAAUAAUAUUAUCAAAUGACGAUAAUAUUACUAUUGAGUUAAAGAAUUAUUCAAUGUUUGAUUAUGUGGCUAAAUGUUAGCUAAUUUAUUAUUUGAGUAAUAGUGUUGUGACAUAAAAUGUAUUAUGCUAAUUGGAGGAUCGAUCUUAUUAAUGAUAUGUUUUUCAUAAGAGAUUAAAUUAGAUUUCUUAGUGGUAAUCAACGGUACAUGCAAGUUUUCUAACUCAAACUCGAGUUAAUAAUUUUCCAGAAUGCUAGUGGUUUAAUUAUUGACAAUUAUUCCACAUUUAUGAUUAUUGAUUCGCACUUAGUGCACAUUGCAUAUGUUUAUCAAGUAUGAAAGGUUGAUCAUCUUUAUUACCAAAGUUUUUGUUCAUGGUCAUUGUUGACCACUCAACGUUAUUAAUUCAAUCAUCUAUGUAUUGAAAUUUGAUUCAUGCUCUUUCACAAUCAUUAUAUUUAUAAAAACUUGAAAGCUUAUUCUUUCUCUCAAUCAUGAUAUAUCUUUAUUGUAUUUAAACUGGUUGAGCAAAGUAGUUGCUCACCCUUGCUUGAAUAUAUUUAAGUUUAACCCGAAUGCUCAAAGAAGGACAAACGCAAAGGAAAUGAUGGAGAUUAUUUUUAUAUGGACAUUUAUCUAUUAUGAUAACUGACGUAAAUUGAUGAUGUAAACCUUGUGAAUUAUUUAAGGUAUGUAUUAAGAUAAAGGUUGUAGACCUUGGAAAAUGUUACAAAACCAUUGUGUAAUAAACAAAUUAUGUUUAUAAUUCCGCAUUUGUUUAUAGAAUAUGUAUGAAGACGAUGUAUCGUGACACACCAGGUCAGGGAUUCUAGGGACCCGGAUUUGGGGGCGUUGCAGGUUGGUAUCAAAACUGUAGGUUAUAAACCAUAGGUAGGAGUACCUUAAGCUAUAACUGUAGAUAUGAGAAUAAGGAAUAAACUCAAAUAGAGUUGAAGUACUAAUAGAUGAAUUUUGGAAAUUCAUUAUUUAGUAAAGAAGAUUCAAAGAAGAAUCUUAAAGAGCUAUGGAAGAAAAGAAUCCAGAGUUACCUGACUCCAGUAAUAAAGAUGAAAAGUAAUAAUAAAUAGACGAUGUCUAUAAGAGAAAAAGUACAAAUAAAAUCAUAAUAUAAUAUGCUUAAAGAGAAGAAUAAGAAGAUCAUAGAAUAAAAUGAUCGUAAGGAUAAGAAGAAAUAGUUCCAAAAUAAGAUCACGACGUGAUCAGAUUGAAUUGUGGAAUAACAUAUGAUAUGUUAAAUGAUUAAGAAGAUAUAGCAUGACGCUAUAAAGAGAUUGUACUAUGAAAUGGUACGAUGUAAACUCGAAAAGAGUUAUAGAUGAUGAGAUACGGAUUAAAUAAAAUUCGUAUUGAGUAAAGAGAAAGCUAGAAUUAUGUGGGAUUUCAACUGAGAACUCAUGUGAUAACUAAGUUGUAAAAGCCUUUGUAUGGGCAGGGGUUUUGCGCUUGGUCUAACGACUACUAAAUUUAUCACAGUGAUAAUCACUGAAAUAUUGGUGUCGCGCUAUCGAUAUACAUGUGAAGAGAAGGUGAUUCUUUUCUCAUAUUUAUAUUUGAUAGUUAGAGAAUAUUAAGAUUAGGUACGAGUUCUUAAAACUCAUACUUAUGGUAAGUUUGUGACUCAUAAUUGUAUGAUACAUUUUUGAACCCCUAAGGUUCUAGACAGUUCCUGAUUGGUUCUUGGACUACGUAUUGCUAGGACAAGUUCCUAAACUCGUAUUAUUGUGGUAAGUUCCUGAACUCAUAAUGUGUGAUACGUUUGAUGAACUAUACUGGGAUAUAGAAGAAUUGUUGAUUGAGAGGUUUUUUAGUAUAGUAAGCUUUAAGGAUGCUAGAAAUAGAUAGAAUUAUUAAGUAAUAGAACAUUGGAAAAAUUGAAGUUGAUGGUGGGAGCAUAAGUAUUCCAAAUCUUCUAGCUAUGCUAGACUUCAAAAUUUUUGACAUCAAGCUUAAUUUGCACUGAUGUGCCUUUAAAAAUACAAAUGAAUUUUUGUUAUCAGCAUCAUACGGUGACAAGGGUGUGUAUGUGGACUGUGAGCCACUAACAUCUCGUUAUCUAUUACAACAUGAUAACACUAAAACUGAUUUUCAAUGGUUUUGAACCGUUUAAAGAAGUCUAUGCUAAUUAUUUCGGCUAGAAAAAAAUAAUUUGAAAUAUAUCAAAAUAUAUUUUAUAUAUCAUCAAUGCAUCAUGAAACCUGGUGCAGAGAUGAUAAAAACGAUGGAGUCAUCACUGCAAUAUUACCUAGUGUUGGAUGUGAUCUAAGGAUCGUCAGCCCACUAUGGUAUGAUGUAGUAUGACAAAGUCACAAAAUGGCGAAAAUCCUCAAAUGGACUAUAAAUACAGUGCGGAAUCAUGACGUCAUAAAAUAAUUUUUUGAAUUUUAAACUAGUUAGAGAAAAGUCAAUGCCAAUUAAAGUGGCUAGACAAAUAUUUCGAUUGAUGUUCGAAUUAUUGAUAUGCGUCUAAGUUAUUUGAUUCAGCUAAAUGUUUAUGAAAAUUCAAGUAUUUUUUUGAGAAUUUAUCCCGAAAUAAAUUGUUUUGGUACUGAAUCUUAUGCUAAGUCUGAGGUGAACAACCCUGAUUGGAUAAAAUAAUCCAAUCUAGUAGCGUAAAUAGUCGUUAAACAAGAUUGAUACGUUGUACACGACGUAGGGUACGAUAGGCUGAUCACCUAACGUACUCGUAUCUGUACUAGGCUGAUCACCUAGUACAACAUGUUUACAUAAUUGGUUGUGGUGAAUACUGUUAAGCUUGAGAGUUCAUGGUGUAUAUGACCCCUCAGCAUAAUAUGAAAAGUUUUUAACUUCUUAAAAAGGGUAGCAAUGGUUGAAUGAGAUGAUAGAAGAGAAAUUCUCAGAGGAGGAAAAUAUAAAGGUUAAAUUGAAAACCUAUUUUCGGUGAAUAAAAGAAGCAAAGAAUAGUAUACUGUAAUUUCAGGGACAAAAUUCUUAGAAGAAGGGGUGACAACCCAAAAAUUUAGAGGAUCUUGAAUGAUUAAGUUAAAUGUUAAAGUUUAAAACCUAGAAUGGAAAUAGAUGAAUGAUUUAAAUUUUUUAAGAAGUACCUAUAUGGUUUAAUAUUUGAAAAAGAAUUAAGAAAAUAAGGGUUAUGAAAAUUCAAAACCUAAAAAGAGAUUUUUGUAUGUGAAAAAUUUAUUUAAAGAAAUAAAUUUCAAAUGAAGAGAUAUUAUUAGAUUAAAUUAAAUGUGUAUAUGUAUAGAUACAUAUGUAUAGAUACUUAUUGACUGUAGCAAACUGUAUUAAGAGGGUUACUGGAUAUUAAAUUAAAUGUCUACUCUAAUAUAUGAGUAUAUAAAUCAUUUUAUGAUUUAUGAAUAAUAUGCAUGUUUACAUAAUAUAGUAAAUAUAUUAAAUUAUAUUUGUUAUAUGUAAAUAAAUUGAUAUAAACAGUUUAUAAUGUGAGAAAAUAAAAUUAUUAAUUAUUUUCUAUAUGUGAUGUGUGUAUGUUUGGUGUAACUUGUAAUUGAGAGUUAAUAAAUAUUAUAUAUAUAUAUAUAUUACGCGGGAAAAAUAAAAUUGUGGGGACAAUUUGCGUAAUGAAGCAAAAAGAGGCAGGUUAAGCAUAUAAUAUUAAUAUAUACUUUACCCAAGAGUAUUAGAAUAAAUUCUUAUAUGAAAUUAAUUUAAUCAAGAAAAGAUAUUAUAUCUAUCGGAAUAUCUUAAGGAAAUAAAUAAAUUCUCAAUUGAAUUUAUGAUAAUGAGGUAAGGAUUUUAUAUUAUAAUAUAUUUAGUAUGUAAAUAAUUGUAUUUACAUACGAAAUUAUGUAUAAUAUAUUUAUUUUAUUAUUAUAAAAUAAAUAUGUAAUUUAAGUGUGUUAUGUUAUAUUUUAUAUUAUUUAUAUAUCAUAGAUGAGUUAUAUAAAUUAUAUGAUUUCAUGAGGGUAAGAUAGUUUAAGGAGAUUUAUGUAGUUACUUAUUUGAUUAAAUUAAGUUAUUAAGAUUGGGUAAUUAAAUUACUUAACAAAAGCAGUAAAAGAAUAGUUGAAUUAAUUAUUUAAAGUAAAAAACAAGUGGACUAGAAACCCUAAUUAAAUAUAUAGGGUUAUGUAAACUAAAUGUAUUGGACCCAUAAUAUUUUCAUGGCCCAAACAAGUUAUAAAGAGCCCAAUCAAUAAAUCAAAUGGCCCAAUUUUUAGCCCAAAAGGUGAGGGACUUUUCGGUUAUUUUAUUAAGCAAAUUUAACAAACUAAUAAAAUGUAAAAUUGGGUAAUUACUUGGUAUAAUGUACCGGGCAAAGGGAGAAUUGAGCAUGUGGGAUUAAUUUUUUUUAGCCAAGUGUCCACUAAAUCCUAUCUCUAAAUAUUAUGUUUAGAUUCACAAGAUAUGGAGGAGAUAGGAGAGAGAGAAGGAAGAUUUUUGAUAAAUUUAGAGGAGAUAAGAGAGAGAGAGAAAGAUGCGAUGUUAGGAAAGAUAUGGGGGGGAGAGAGAGCCGUAUGGCUUGGUAGAGGAGGAAGAAAAGUCGCUCACAAUUUCAUACCUUCUUCAUCUUUGAUCAUUCAAUGACCACCAUCUUCAUCUUCUUCCAUUAAAACUCCAAGAAAACUAGUGAGAGAAAGAAGUGGGUUUAGUGAAGGAGGUGGGAUGAGGCUACAGGAGUAUACCAAAGAGAAGAUAAGAGAAUUCUAACAAGUCCUAGCAAGCUUCUAAGCAUCAAGAGGGGAUUUAAGCUCAUCAAGUAAGUCUUAAAACCUUAAACCUUCACAUUUCUUCCAUUUUAAUGGCUUAUCUUUAUUCUUGAGUUGUUGAGUUGUAAAACUUCUUAAGAACAAUUUUCAUAUGAAGCCUUAACAUCAUCCAAGUGUAACCAAAACUCACAAAAUCCGAACCUAUGCGUAAAGGAUGUA